GGCUGGUCCAAGUGCAGUGUUUACAACUAAUGGAUCACAAGUUACAGAGUUCUUUGUCCCUUAUCCACUCCCACUACUUCCCUUGACUAGCCUUAA
Molecule: Y RNA, 96 nt
Organism: Callithrix jacchus (white-tufted-ear marmoset)
Lineage: Eukaryota; Metazoa; Chordata; Mammalia; Primates; Cebidae
Rfam family: Y RNA
About the family: Y RNAs are components of the Ro ribonucleoprotein particle (Ro RNP), in association with Ro60 and La proteins. The Y RNAs and Ro60 and La proteins are well conserved, but the function of the Ro RNP is not known. In humans the RNA component can be one of four small RNAs -- hY1, hY3, hY4 and hY5.
Source: Ensembl